This 497-nucleotide ribosomal RNA is filed under the name uncultured bacterium. RNAcentral's name for it is "partial 16S ribosomal RNA". It matches the Rfam family "Bacterial small subunit ribosomal RNA", at positions 28 to 507 of the family's 1533-position model. The record is from RNAcentral.
GAUGAACGCUGGCGGCGUGCCUAAUACAUGCAAGUCGAGCGAACAGACGAGGAGCUUGCUCCUUUGACGUUAGCGGCGGACGGGUGAGUAACACGUGGAUAACCUACCUAUAAGACUGGGAUAACUUCGGGAAACCGGAGCUAAUACCGGAUAACAUGUUGAACCGCAUGGUUCAACAGUGAAAGACGGUCUUGCUGUCACUUAUAGAUGGAUCCGCGCCGCAUUAGCUAGUUGGUAAGGUAACGGCUUACCAAGGCAACGAUGCGUAGCCGACCUGAGAGGGUGAUCGGCCACACUGGAACUGAGACACGGUCCAGACUCCUACGGGAGGCAGCAGUAGGGAAUCCUCCGCAAAGGGCGAAAGCCUGACGGAGCAACGCCGCGUGAGUGAAGAAGGUCUUCGGAUCGUAAAACUCUGUUAUUAGGGAAGAACAAAUGUGUAAGUAACUAUGCACGUCUUGACGGUACCUAAUCAGAAAGCCACGGCUAACUACGUG